UUUGCGGACCUCGCGUAACAGAAAGCCACCUUUCAGCGCCUGCGCGUCUAUCCUCCCCAAGGUCCAGGCGUCCCUGCUCUGCCGCGCGCCGCGGUCCUUCUGUUCCAUCCCGUCCAGGUCCCCUCUAGCCUCGGGGCUUUUGUACGUUUGACCCACUCUCCAGAUUCCGUCUGGUCUUCCACCUCCUGCUCCCUCCACAGUCUCCUCGUUGCAGCCCAGGGGACUCCUCCCCCACCCCGGCCUGGCUUCCUAGGCAGGUGGGGCCUCCGGAAUGCUCCCUCCACCCGCCCUGCCUGCAUAACGCCCAGCGCAUUCUGAAAUUUCGUAUUUGUGAGUGAUUAUCUGAUCUCUGACUUUGAUAAGUAAGGUGCUCCUGAGCCCUGCAGAAAGAGGACAGAAGAGAAGGGAGCGAUGGACGUUAAGAAUCAAAACAACCACCGGGACAAUGAAUAUUUGUUGUGCAGCCGCUGUUCGCCCGCGCCAGGUGGUGAAGAAUGAGAGGUCGAAUUGGCGCCAAAGCGCUGUGAGCGCAACCCGGUGGGCGGAGGGUCAGAAGUCUGAGUGGUUCUGGGACCGUCAGUCGACAGACGUCAGUCAGGAUAAACCAGGUACCCCAACCAGGUGCUAACGUCAGGCCGUGGUUCUGGUCUCAAUGAUCUGGCCGCAGAAAGACCAUCUCCCCACACACAGAGGAGGCACAGCCCUUCUUCAGAUGUUCACAAUAAAGAGAGAUCCAGGGACACUGGCCAUGACGAGGAUGGGAUCAACGUGUGGACAUUCUCAUAUGCAAUACUUGGUUAUAUCACUGUGCAAGAGAACAUGGAUCGGGGUGUCAAAAUUAAGUCAGUUCCAUAUUUGGAACCCAUAUUAACAAAAAUUGAAUACUAUUUAUUGAAUAACUUUUCAUAAAUGUUAUUCUUAGUAAUAUUAAUGCUAUUUAUUAAAUAAUAUUGAAUGAAUAUCAUGUAUUAAAUAAUGCUUAUUUAAUAAUAUGACAA
Molecule: long non-coding RNA, 998 nt
Filed under: Equus asinus (donkey)
Lineage: Eukaryota; Metazoa; Chordata; Mammalia; Perissodactyla; Equidae
Description: lncRNA (ENSEASG00005033458.1)
Source: RNAcentral